RNAcentral lists this ribosomal RNA (253 nucleotides) under uncultured bacterium. RNAcentral describes it as "partial 16S ribosomal RNA". It matches the Rfam family "Bacterial small subunit ribosomal RNA", at positions 524 to 776 of the family's 1533-position model. The record is from RNAcentral.
UACAGAGGGGGCAAGCGUUGUUCGGAAUUACUGGGCGUAAAGCGCGCGUAGGCGGCUUUUCAAGCCGAUUGUGAAAUCCCCGGGCUUAACCUGGGAACUGCAGUCGGGACUGUCUGGCUAGAGUAUGGGAGAGGGAAGUGGAAUUUCAGGUGUAGCGGUGAAAUGCGUAGAUAUCUGAAGGAACAUCAGUGGCGAAAGCGACUUCCUGGACCAAUACUGACGCUCAUGUGCGAAAGCGUGGGGAGCAAACAGG